AGAGAACUUUCCAGAGAUGGAUUGGUGGCCUUCGGGAACUCUGAGACAGGUGCUGCAUGGCUGUCGUCAGCUCGUGUUGUGAAAUGUUGGGUUAAGUCCCGCAACGAGCGCAACCCUUAUCCUUUGUUGCCAGCGGUUAGGCCGGGAACUCAAAGGAGACUGCCAGUGAUAAACUGGAGGAAGGUGGGGAUGACGUCAAGUCAUCAUGGCCCUUACGAGUAGGGCUACACACGUGCUACAAUGGCGCAUACAAAGAGAAGCGACCUCGCGAGAGCAAGCGGACCUCAUAAAGUGCGUCGUAGUCCGGAUUGGAGUCUGCAACUCGACUCCAUGAAGUCGGAAUCGCUAGUAAUCGUGGAUCAGAAUGCCACGGUGAAUACGUUCCCGGGCCUUGUACACACCACCCGUCACACCAUGGGAGUGGGUUGCAAAAGAAGUAGGUAGCUUAACCUUCGGGAGGGCGCUUACCACUUUGUGAUUCAUGACUGGGGUGAAGUCGUAACAAGGUAGGCGUAGUGCU
Molecule: ribosomal RNA, 520 nt
Filed under: uncultured bacterium
Lineage: Bacteria
Description: bacterial SSU rRNA
Rfam family: Bacterial small subunit ribosomal RNA
Source: RNAcentral